AAUGCUUUUUUAUGCAAACUAUAAUUACAAUAAAUAAUAGAAAUAUUAAUAGUUUUAAUAAGAAUAGAAAGAGAUAUUUAUUCUAUCCCGUAACUUUUUCAUUCUAAGCUCUAAUAACAGCUUUGAUUAAUUUAGUAUAACCAAUAUUCUGAGUUACAAGAAGGGGUCCUGUUAUUUGAUCUAAUUGGCUAUGAUUUAUAUAUUUAGAAAAUAAUAUUUAUAUAUAUAUUUUUUUAUCUAUUUAUAAAUAUUCAUAAAUACUUCAUUUUCCUUCAAAUACGACUAGGAGUUUUCUUCUACUAUGUUUUUUAUGUAUAUGCACAAUUGGUUAUUUUCACCCUCGGGAAAUCAGCACGUUCCGGUCAAAUGGACAGCGACCCUGAUUACAAGUUGACCAUACUUUUAUUCUUAUUGCUUUGCACAUUGAGUUUGCACUGAAUAUGUGAACAAGUUUGGGAGAAAAUUAAUUAGAAAGGGAGAGGUAGACGUUAAAGGGCAGAAUUAGAAUCCCAUAGCAACAAAGCACGACCUAGCAAUAUAUAGGUCACCUUCCUUACUGACUACCAACAGAAGAUGCCGGUAUUUUACUCACUGCUGAGUGAUUGUCGAUGAAGAAGGCAUCCCCUACGUGCUGGCGCGAGCUUCAUUCAGAUUUGCUAAAUAUUAGUACCUGGGACACAACGCAUUCAAUCGACAGGUCGGGGCGGAUGGCACCACUCGUUCGUAAAUAUUUUUUUAAUACGUUUUCCAUUUUUUUUUUUUUUCAAUGCACAUCAGCCAUU
Molecule: long non-coding RNA, 782 nt
Organism: Apis dorsata (giant honeybee)
Lineage: Eukaryota; Metazoa; Arthropoda; Insecta; Hymenoptera; Apidae
Exons: 2
Source: RefSeq, a predicted model, not a curated record